RNAcentral lists this transfer RNA (73 nucleotides) under Tenacibaculum soleae. It matches the Rfam family "tRNA". Rfam says of the family: Transfer RNA (tRNA) molecules are approximately 80 nucleotides in length. Their secondary structure includes four short double-helical elements and three loops (D, anti-codon, and T loops). Lineage: Bacteria; Pseudomonadati; Bacteroidota; Flavobacteriia; Flavobacteriales; Flavobacteriaceae. The record is from Rfam by way of RNAcentral.
CGCGAGAUAGAGUAGUAGGUAGCUCGUCGGGAUCAUAACCCGAAGGUCACUGGUUCGAGUCCAGUUUCCGCUA